CCCCCGAGACCAUCUUUCUGGGCCAACCAAGCAAUGAAAAAUGAUAGAAUGCAGAAGAAGAAAACUUUCACUUUAUUAUGAGAAUCAUAUACUAGCUUAUUCCAUUGGUUGAGGCAGCUAGUAAUGUUGAGGCCGAUCGAAGCAAAGUUGACAAACCCUCCCCCAAGAAAUCAAGAUUAUUCUGUCAGUUGUGAGUAUUGUUCCAAUUCACC
Molecule: long non-coding RNA, 212 nt
Filed under: Nicotiana benthamiana
Lineage: Eukaryota; Viridiplantae; Streptophyta; Magnoliopsida; Solanales; Solanaceae
Description: long non-coding RNA (NBEN_LNC015322)
Source: RNAcentral